Molecule: small nucleolar RNA, 107 nt
Organism: Hevea brasiliensis (rubber tree)
Lineage: Eukaryota; Viridiplantae; Streptophyta; Magnoliopsida; Malpighiales; Euphorbiaceae
Source: RefSeq, a predicted model, not a curated record
AUGCCAUGGUGUGGACAUUCCCUCUAUCGAUCUUUAUAUCUCUCCCAUGUGUCAUAGAGUGAUUCACCUUCCUUUUGCCUAAAGGUGUUGAGGUCAACCUUCAGUUU